This 1000-nucleotide ribosomal RNA is filed under the name Burkholderia vietnamiensis. RNAcentral's name for it is "bacterial SSU rRNA". It matches the Rfam family "Bacterial small subunit ribosomal RNA", at positions 38 to 1035 of the family's 1533-position model. Lineage: Bacteria; Pseudomonadati; Pseudomonadota; Betaproteobacteria; Burkholderiales; Burkholderiaceae. The record is from RNAcentral.
GGCGGCAUGCUUACACAUGCAAGUCGAACGGCAGCACGGGUGCUUGCACUGGUGGCGAGUGGCGAACGGGUGAGUAAUACAUCGGAACAUGUCCUGUAGUGGGGGAUAGCCCGCGAAAGCCGGAUUAAUACCGCAUACGAUCUAGGGAUGAAAGCGGGGGACUUCGGGCCUCGCGCUAUAGGGUUGGCCGAUGGCUGAUAGCUAGUUGGUGGGGUAAAGGCCUACCAAGGCGACGAUCAGUAGCUGGUCUGAGAGGACGACCAGCCACACUGGGACUGAGACACGGCCCAGACUCCUACGGGAGGCAGCAGUGGGGAAUUUUGGACAAUGGGCGAAAGCCUGAUCCAGCAAUGCCGCGUGUGUGAAGAAGGCCUUCGGGUUGUAAAGCACUUUUGUCCGGAAAGAAAUCCUUGGCUCUAAUACAGUCGGGGGAUGACGGUACCGGAAGAAUAAGCACCGGCUAACUACGUGCCAGCAGCCGCGGUAAUACGUAGGGUGCAAGCGUUAAUCGGAAUUACUGGGCGUAAAGCGUGCGCAGGCGGUUUGCUAAGACCGAUGUGAAAUCCCCGGGCUCAACCUGGGAACUGCAUUGGUGACUGGCAGGCUAGAGUAUGGCAGAGGGGGGUAGAAUUCCACGUGUAGCAGUGAAAUGCGUAGAGAUGUGGAGGAAUACCGAUGGCGAAGGCAGCCCCCUGGGCCAAUACUGACGCUCAUGCACGAAAGCGUGGGGAGCAAACAGGAUUAGAUACCCUGGUAGUCCACGCCCUAAACGAUGUCAACUAGUUGUUGGGGAUUCAUUUCCUUAGUAACGUAGCUAACGCGUGAAGUUGACCGCCUGGGGAGUACGGUCGCAAGAUUAAAACUCAAAGGAAUUGACGGGGACCCGCACAAGCGGUGGAUGAUGUGGAUUAAUUCGAUGCAACGCGAAAAACCUUACCUACCCUUGACAUGGUCGGAAUCCUGAAGAGAUUCGGGAGUGCUCGAAAGAGAACCGGCGCAC